RNAcentral lists this ribosomal RNA (471 nucleotides) under uncultured organism. RNAcentral's name for it is "partial 16S ribosomal RNA". It matches the Rfam family "Bacterial small subunit ribosomal RNA", at positions 330 to 797 of the family's 1533-position model. The record is from RNAcentral.
CGUACACUCCUGCGGGAGGCAGCAGUGAGGAAUAUUGGACAAUGGGUGGAAGCCUGAUCCAGCCAUCCCGCGUGCAGGAAGACGGCCCUAUGGGUUGUAAACUGCUUUUAUCUGGGGAUAAACCUACUUACGUGUAAGUAGCUGAAGGUACCAGAAGAAUAAGCACCGGCUAACUCCGUGCCAGCAGCCGCGGUAAUACGGAGGGUGCAAGCGUUAUCCGGAUUUAUUGGGUUUAAAGGGUCCGUAGGCGGACUGAUAAGUCAGUGGUGAAAUCCGACAGCUUAACUGUCGAACUGCCAUUGAUACUGUUAGUCUUGAGUAAGGUUGAAGUGGCUGGAAUAAGUAGUGUAGCGGUGAAAUGCAUAGAUAUUACUUAGAACACCAAUUGCGAAGGCAGGUCACUAAGUCUUAACUGACGCUGAUGGACGAAAGCGUGGGGAGCGAACAGGAUUAGAAACCCUAGUAGUCCCA